GCUGGCGGCAUGCCUAACACAUGCAAGUCGAACGAAGUAGCAAUACUUAGUGGCAGACGGGUGAGUAACAUGUAGGUAUCUGCCCUUUGGCCUGGAAUAACACGAGGAAACUUGUGCUAAUACCGGAUAAGUCUUUACGGAGAAAGCUUUAUGCACCAUUGGAUGAGCCUGCACUUGAUUAGUUUGUUGGUGGGGUAAUGGCCUACCAAGACUGUGAUCAAUAGCUGAUUUGAGAGGAUGAUCAGCCACAUUGGGACUGAGACACGGCCCAAACUCCUACGGGAGGCAGCAGUGGGGAAUCUUGCACAAUGGAGGAAACUCUGAUGCAGCGAUGCCGCGUGAGUGAAGAAGGCCCUUGGGUUGUAAAGCUCUUUCGUCGGGGAAGAAAAUGACUGUACCCGAAUAAGAAGGUCCGGCUAACU
RNAcentral lists this ribosomal RNA (422 nucleotides) under uncultured bacterium. Its description in RNAcentral is "bacterial SSU rRNA". It matches the Rfam family "Bacterial small subunit ribosomal RNA", at positions 35 to 502 of the family's 1533-position model. The record is from RNAcentral.